This 2021-nucleotide long non-coding RNA is filed under the name Malus domestica (apple). Its description in RNAcentral is "long non-coding RNA (MDOM_LNC018922)". The record is from RNAcentral. Lineage: Eukaryota; Viridiplantae; Streptophyta; Magnoliopsida; Rosales; Rosaceae.
AACAAGAUCAACUAUCUCCAAAACCAGAUUUGCGUUCUUAAACUCUACUCUGUCUGGUUUUUACUUUGCCAUGUUUAUCAUGUUUCCUCGUUGUUUGUUUGUUUGCUUUUGUGUGAGUUUAUGUUUGAAACAUUGAGGACAAUGUUAGAUUUAAGUGUGGGGGGGUAAACAAGUUGCUGUUGCAUGAUUUUCGUGGGAUUUUAUUCACCUAUCACUUACAAUGUUGUUUCUUGCUGUUUUAAGUGUUUUUAGUGUGUUUUUAAGCAUGUUAGUAUGUUUUGACAUAAAAAUCCGAAAAUUUGACAAAAGUUUGAAAAAAUUGUUUUGAAAAAGCCAAAAAGAGUUGUUUUUGUGUGUUUGUUUGUGUCUUAGGGUACCUUCCAACACAAUAAUGAGGAUUUGGUUUGUUAAUUGCAUGACUGUUAAAGAAAGUUAUAAACAUGGAUGGAAGUUUGAUAUGCUCUUGAUUUAUGCUUGGUUAUAGUUAUAGUUUACGAAUUCACAUGUAAUCACAAAGAAAAAAAUCAGUUUUUGUAACAUGCUUGAAGGAAGGAACUCAAACUAACACUACAACCUUGAGAGACUUGAGCCUAAUACGUUCUUUGGAGAGUUAUUAAUCUGUGCAUUUUUGUUUUCUAAAGUCGUUGCAUGAUCUCAUCAUUCUUUGCUUGGUUGCUACUUAGAAUGCGUUUCAUCAUUUAGUUCCAAAUACUAGAACUUAUGCCCGUUCCAUUCAAAGCAUGACAUUGAUUUGCAUAACACAUAUUCAAGAUGAAGUUGUGUAGUGAACUAGAGCCAAAAAGCUUAUCCCGUGCAUAUUUGUUUAAGUUUAACCCCGUUGAGCCUUGUUUAGCCUGUUUUCUUUGUUAAACCACAUUUCCCUUACCUAGCCUAGAUUAGGACUAUCCAUACCCUUGUUUUUAAAGCAUAAUGAAGCAUGACUUAAAAUGAAUUCCUUUUGAUUGUCCUUAUGCAGAAAACAAGUGUGGGGGAAUGAGAUUUUUGUGUUUUGUGUGCCAAAAGAAAGUAAUAAGGCACGGGUUAGAAAAGAAAAAGAAAAAAAGAAAAGAAAAAGUGUUGAAAAGAAAAGAAAAAGAGUUUGAAAUAAGUGAGGAAAGGCUCACAAGUGUUGUUUGUUGUAGAAAGGGUCCAAAAAGUUGAAAUCGGCCCUAAAAAGUUGAAUGAAUAACCCCAUUGUGUUUAAAGUUAGUUGCUGCAUUCAAAGGGAAUUCUAAGCAUCAAUUUCAUUACUUUGCUUAUUAUGCUUUAAAAAUGUUUGUUUCCUUACCUUUCAUUGUUAGCCAAUCACCCCUAACCCCGUUACAACCCUUAACUUCAAUCUUGAGUGUUAUGUGUUUCAAUAUGUGGAGUUUGGGAUUGGUACGAGCAUAUGGUGUCCCUGGUUCUCGCAUCUAAGUAGUAGCAUUCCAGUCAUGAGAUCAUAUCUAUACAUGCUUAAUAACUCCAGAAAUUGCUUUCUUUGCUAUAAAACAUAUGUGAGUGUUCGUUUUCAUGUUUACAUCAAUCUUCUCACAUACACCUAGUGUAGGGUGUGUAGUCAGAAAAAUCGGAGUGAAAAUAAGAGUGUAUCUUGUAAGGAAUUGAGCAGAUUCUCUAAGGCAUGUUACUACAUUCAAAACAUAGUUUUAAUUGGUUAUAUGUGAACUAGUAUGUGGUGACUAUGAUUAAGUAUGUGCUCAAGGGUAGGGAAGGCCAAAAUAUGUGGUUAUGAUGAUCUUUUGCAUGUCAUGUUGCAUUGAAAAUCCCUAAGGUAAAUAUUGGAAGGUUUAGGUUUUGUUUUGUUCUUAUGUUUUGUUUCUUUGUUUUACUCGAGGACUAGCAAAAGCUAAGUGUGGGGGAAUUUGAUAGGAGCAUAUUUAUGCGACUUAGUAUGUUUGUUUUCGUGCAUUUAUGUUCUUAGUUCUUAGUUAUGUUAGUAGUUUAAGCCAUUUUUUUGUGUUUGUAGGUUCUAUGGGCCAAGGAUGCAAGAAGAUGCAUUUUGGAGCAUUUUGGAGCAUUUU